This is a non-coding RNA of Pelodiscus sinensis (Chinese soft-shelled turtle), 815 nucleotides long. The record is from RefSeq and is a predicted model, not a curated record. NCBI's taxonomy places the organism in Eukaryota, Metazoa, Chordata, Testudines, Trionychidae.
AGCAAGUCUCUCCCAGCAGGUAGGGAGCUGAAGGAGAAGUGCCCCUCCUCCAGCCAGGCAGCUCUGUGCUUGGAGUCCUGAGCCCCUAGAUGGGGCUCAUUAAGCAACUGAGAGGCCUUGCUAUUGUGCAUCUUAGAGGGAACCUUGGUGGCAGGUGUAAGGGCUGAGGACUGCUGAUAUCCCCGGAAAGAGGAGAGAAUGGCGUGGUCAGCACUGCUGACGGGCAGUGUCCAAAAGAGGACGCUACAGUUCAGGAAACAGUUUGGGUCCACAGCAAGACGGUGGAGCAACAUGACGACAAGAGAGCAGCCAGAAGGUAGCUCUCUUCCUUGGAGUGUGCCAAUUCCUGGUGUGACCAGUAGGAGGUGCUGCAAUGGCAACUUCCCCAUUGCACUGGAUUUAGCAAUGUCUGGUUAACAAUGCAAGGUGAAUCACAGUGGCUCAACCGGCUGAGGAGGACUGCAAUUUGAUUCCCAGCCAGAGAUUUGAAGGAGAGACACCACAAUCAUUGUAAGAAGUCUCCAAGGAACGAGCCUUCCCCCUUCCGGAGCAGCGGCAGGUGAGGAGUGGUGACCAGUGGCAUGGCAUAGAGCGGCAGCAGGCGCAGAGCGGCAGCAGGUGAGGAGCAGUGACCAGCAGCAUGGUGCAGAGCGGCGGCAGGUGAGGAGCAGUGACCAGCGGCGUGGCACGGCUGGUAGGAGCAGCAGCAGGCGAGGAGCAGCGGCAGGUGACCAGCGGUGCGGUGCGGCUGGUAGGAGCGGCGGCAGGCGACCAGCGGAGCAUCUGGUGGAGUGGAAUGAGACAGCUGGUGGAGC